Dipodomys ordii (Ord's kangaroo rat) is the source of this 106-nucleotide small nuclear RNA. The record is from Ensembl. Lineage: Eukaryota; Metazoa; Chordata; Mammalia; Rodentia; Heteromyidae.
AUGCUCAUUUUGGCAGCAUAUAGACUAAAAUUGGAAUGAUACAGUGAAGAGUAACAUGGCCUCUGCAUAGAAUGAAACACAAAUCUGUGAAGCAUUCCAUAAUUUU